Small nucleolar RNA from Rhineura floridana, 89 nucleotides. RefSeq annotates it as small nucleolar RNA MBII-202. The record is from RefSeq and is a predicted model, not a curated record. The transcript has a single exon. NCBI's taxonomy places the organism in Eukaryota, Metazoa, Chordata, Lepidosauria, Squamata, Rhineuridae.
UGAUGACACUGUCUCCGGAAUCUCUGUACUACUCUCUGUGAUGACUGUGUUUUGAACCCUUUUCCAACUGAUGGCUGUUUUGUCUCUGC